Molecule: ribosomal RNA, 402 nt
Filed under: uncultured prokaryote
Description: bacterial SSU rRNA
Rfam family: Bacterial small subunit ribosomal RNA
Source: RNAcentral
UGGGGAAUAUUGCGCAAUGGGGGGAACCCUGACGCAGCAACGCCGCGUGAAGGAAGACGGUUUUCGGAUUGUAAACUUCUUUGACCGGGGACGAUAAUGACGGUACCCGGAAAACAAGCCACGGCUAACUACGUGCCAGCAGCCGCGGUAAUACGUAGGUGGCGAGCGUUGUCCGGAAUUACUGGGUGUAAAGGGUGAGUAGGCGGAAUGGCAAGUCAGAUGUGAAAUAUCGGGGCUUAACCCCGGGGCUGCAUUUGAAACUGCUGUUCUUGAGUGAUGGAGAGGCAGGCGGAAUUCCUAGUGUAGCGGUGAAAUGCGUAGAUAUUAGGAGGAACACCAGUGGCGAAGGCGGCCUGCUGGACAUUAACUGACGCUGAGGCACGAAAGCGUGGGGAGCAAACA